CCAGAUUUAAAGUUAGGUAGUCAGUGUAGUUAGAUAAAUCGGUCUAAUAUCGAGUGAAAUCUAAAAUGGAGACCAUGCAGAGAAUGACUCAGGGAAAACACAGGACAACUCAUGGAAUGUUAAUGAAGUCCCGAAAAGGCCCUAGGCCAAAGUCCACCUCAAAGAAAUGUUAAUGAACAGCCCCCAGCAAAAAGGUGCUGACUCAGUCCUUCCUGACCAGAUUACUUCUUUGGCCCACCUGUGUCCCACCCCUCGGGCCUUCCCACCUACAUUCCAUCACUGAAAGAACUAUAAAAAGG
This 299-nucleotide long non-coding RNA is filed under the name Marmota monax (woodchuck). The record is from RNAcentral. Lineage: Eukaryota; Metazoa; Chordata; Mammalia; Rodentia; Sciuridae.